AUUGAACGCUGGCGGCAUGCCUUACACAUGCAAGUCGAACGGCAGCGGACCUUCGGGUACCGGCGGGUGGCGAACGGGUGAGUAAUAUAUCGGAACGUACCUUUCAGUGGGGGAGUAACGUAGCGAAAGUUACGCUAAUACCGCGUAAGCCCUCGAGGGGGAAAGGUAGGGGACCGGCGAAGGCCUCACGCGAAUGGAGCGGCCGAUGUCAGAUUAGCUAGUUGGUGGGGUAAAGGCUCACCAAGGCGACGAUCUGUAGCGGGUCUGAGAGGAUGAUCCGCCACACUGGGACUGAGACACGGCCCAGACUCCUACGGGAGGCAGCAGUGGGGAAUUUUGGACAAUGGGCGAAAGCCUGAUCCAGCCAUGCCGCGUGAGUGAAGAAGGCCU
Molecule: ribosomal RNA, 390 nt
Filed under: uncultured bacterium
Lineage: Bacteria
Description: bacterial SSU rRNA
Rfam family: Bacterial small subunit ribosomal RNA
Source: RNAcentral